Molecule: ribosomal RNA, 389 nt
Filed under: Escherichia coli
Lineage: Bacteria; Pseudomonadati; Pseudomonadota; Gammaproteobacteria; Enterobacterales; Enterobacteriaceae
Also listed under: 1 other name
Description: partial 23S ribosomal RNA
Rfam family: Bacterial large subunit ribosomal RNA
Source: RNAcentral
CACGGCGGGUGCUAACGUCCGUCGUGAAGAGGGAAACAACCCAGACCGCCAGCUAAGGUCCCAAAGUCAUGGUUAAGUGGGAAACGAUGUGGGAAGGCCCAGACAGCCAGGAUGUUGGCUUAGAAGCAGCCAUCAUUUAAAGAAAGCGUAAUAGCUCACUGGUCGAGUCGGCCUGCGCGGAAGAUGUAACGGGGCUAAACCAUGCACCGAAGCUGCGGCAGCGACGCUUAUGCGUUGUUGGGUAGGGGAGCGUUCUGUAAGCCUGCGAAGGUGUGCUGUGAGGCAUGCUGGAGGUAUCAGAAGUGCGAAUGCUGACAUAAGUAACGAUAAAGCGGGUGAAAAGCCCGCUCGCCGGAAGACCAAGGGUUCCUGUCCAACGUUAAUCGGGG